UAAGUUAUUAAUGUUUCUCAAAAUACUUAGUAAAUAUUGAAUAUAACCAUUUUAAUAAUCAUAGGUACAGUUUUGGCUCAGUUAGUCAUAAAAGCGAUUUGCCUUCUUGAGAAUGCUGGUGCUAAGGUGGAUGGAUUAGUGUCAGACGGAGAAACUAGUAAUAGAAAAUUAUUGUCUGAACUGGGAAUAAGUGGUGAAAAAGAUACUUUCAAACAAAUUUAACCAUUCUUUGGACGAUAAAAUACAUAUUUACGUGUUCUCUGAUGCACCCCAUCUUCUCAAGAAUGAAUCACCAAAAAAACACUACAUUAGAUUGAAUGAUUUCGUUGAAGUCCAUAACAAUGAUUUGAAAAAUAUUUCUGAUGCACCAACUAAAGUGUGCCCUAAAAUCACACAUAGACAUAUAUUAAUUGAUAGUUUUAGUAAGAUGAAUGUUAAAUUGGCUGCACAAAUUUUUAGUAACUCAAUGGCCAGAGGAAUUGAAUUUUACAGGGAGUAUGCUAAAAUAGAGAGCUUAAAAAAUAAUUAUGAAACACAAUCAUUUACUGAUCGAUUUAACAAAUUGUUUGAUGCUUUAAAUCGAAAACACCCUGCAGAGGGCAUACAAAUAAAUAGCAAAGACUGAGAUUUUAGAAGAUAAUCUUAAAUGGCUUGAUAAUUGGGAAGAUCAACUAAAUAAACAAAAUAUUUCCAAAGAUGAAUUUUUAACUAAAUCAACUGCAGAUGGUUUAAGGGUCACUAUCAAGUCAACUAUUGAACUAUCAAAAUGUUUAUUGGAGGAAUGCAAAUUUAAAUAUGUUUUGUCUGCUAAAUUUAAUCAAGACCGACUAGAAGUAAAAUAAGAACUGAAUUUUUAAU
Long non-coding RNA from Aphis gossypii (cotton aphid), 858 nucleotides. RefSeq lists it as uncharacterized. The transcript has 4 exons. The record is from RefSeq and is a predicted model, not a curated record. Lineage: Eukaryota; Metazoa; Arthropoda; Insecta; Hemiptera; Aphididae.